UUUGACCAUCUAUUAUCUCAAUGCUACUGCCAAGGGCCAGAAGGCAGCAAACCUGGAUCUCAAAAAGAAGAUGAAAAUGCAAGCGCUGGAGAACAAGAUGCGGAACAAGAAGAUGGCGGCCGCCCGCGCAGCCGCAGCUGGUGGUGGCCAGUAACUCGCACAGAUAUCUGGACGGUUUCUUUCUGUUGAAGAAACAACCCCUUGUUCUACCCCAGACGGAUUAUCAAGGUCAUGUUCUUGCAUAAAAGCAUCAUCAGUCCCACGUGAACCAGGGGUCUCCACCU
This is a long non-coding RNA of Ochotona curzoniae (black-lipped pika), 284 nucleotides long. RefSeq lists it as uncharacterized. The transcript is spliced from 3 exons. Lineage: Eukaryota; Metazoa; Chordata; Mammalia; Lagomorpha; Ochotonidae. The record is from RefSeq and is a predicted model, not a curated record.